GAGAAAUAUAAAGACAAUGAGAAAUAUAUCUCCUACUGCAAAGACUUAACACCCACACAUCCCAAUGACCAGGAGGAGUCAUUUAAGGAUCGGGUGGAGGGGAUGGACUGUAGCAAUAUCAGCGGCACCGUCUCAGUAACUUUGAAGAACCUGACCAGAAACGACAGUGGGACAUACGAGCUUCAAGGGGUGGACCAUGGUGGACGGCUCUUUAAUAAAACUGUCUUCCUCAACGUUACUGACCCAGGUCACACAGGAGGAGGGAAGAACAAUGGAGACAGUAGAGGACAUCUUGGACUAUCCAACGACAUCUAGAACAUGAAAUCACGAUAGUGACGUUUGUAUCUAGUUAAAUCCUAGAACCUCAACAGGGCAAUAGUAAUGAAACAGCUUUCCUGAGGACAUGGGCUGCCUUGAGUACAAUGGCACCAGAUGGGCUAGGUCAGCCUGGAGUGCAGGUACACCGCCUAGAGCCACCUAGCAGCAGCUGAAAGGAUCAUUUAGCAGACCAGCUGGUGCCACAGGAGUGAGGAGGCCUCACAUUUGUACCUUGAGGAAUCAACAAGAGUCAUCAGCGCACCAAAGUUUAAUGGUGCAAAAGACAGCCUGAUACAACCACAAUGUGAGCUUACAUCAAGUUUCUUACUGCCAUACAACUAAGGGUAAUCUACUGCAUGCAGGAAAUUGGGACCCACUGAGACAGAGAAUUCCUGUGGACCUGCCUGAACUGAAGCUUUGGAUUCACUAACUGGAAGUCCUUCUGUUGUCACAUUCUGUUGUUACUUCACUGUAAAUAAACGCACUGAACUUAAUCCUGCAAGUCUGUGUUAUGAGUCCAGUCAGUCCAUUAGUUAUGACCGAGUGGAGGAAUUCCUCAUCUGAUUUCAAUGUCUUGGUCUAAAUCCCCAAAUGCAUCAA
Long non-coding RNA from Oreochromis aureus, 918 nucleotides. The record is from Ensembl. NCBI's taxonomy places the organism in Eukaryota, Metazoa, Chordata, Actinopteri, Cichliformes, Cichlidae.